Molecule: RNA transcript, 3352 nt
Organism: Amaranthus tricolor (Joseph's coat)
Lineage: Eukaryota; Viridiplantae; Streptophyta; Magnoliopsida; Caryophyllales; Amaranthaceae
Exons: 5
Source: RefSeq, a predicted model, not a curated record
AAAAACCUCAAAAUUCGUGAUAAAACACAAGCUAAACAACUUCUGUCGGUAUGACCCACUUGGAUAUUUUUUCGGCUCUCAUUCUCUCAGAUCACAUCCUACAUGUUGUUGUAGCAUGUUGAAUUUUCACUUGUCUCCUCGUAAGAAGCAGAUCCGCCAUUUCUCUUUCUUCGACCUUCUCAAUUCUUUUACUCCUUUCUCUCUCUCUCUCUCUCUCUCUCUCUCUCUCUCUACCUUCGUUUUCUUGUCAUGACGACUUUCGUCUUUACUUCUGUUACGCAACCUCGUAAUUUACAUCUAUCAGACUGUGUGUGAGUUCGUAUGAUGAUUAUUUAGGGUGUCAACUUCCAGCUUUUGCAACUUGCAAGUGACCUCCAAGUGCAAUAACUUUGGCGUAUCACACCAACAACAAUAACAUAGCAUUUUGUUGAAGAACAUUUUGGAAGGAAGAGAUUGGGACACACUUUUGUGAUUGUAAUAAAAGUAGCAUGGUCAUGCUAAUUAAAAGUAUCAACAUGUGUACUUUCAGUACAUCAUGUAAAACAAUUUUUCCCUUUUUAUUCAAACAAGGAAUAUGUAUGCUGCAAAGAAAAUAUGACACAAGGUAGAGUAAUACUUCUUACUACGUAAAAGAUGGUAGUAAAAGGAAUAACACAAAGUAUUUGCUAGGGCUUAUUGGUGAAACCGAGCUAGAACCUAAUUUCAGCCAUUAUUCCCUUGUGAUUGAUGCAACUAAGUCCCUUGUCUGCGCAGCUCCAUCUAACAUAUUUCUUGAAGUGGCAAGCUGAUUUAGUUCGGCUGAUUAUGUUGUACCUAUACUUCAGGCAUAGACAGGUCACAGGAUAAUGAAAAGGCUGUUCUAAACGCUAGGAGCUUUUAUGUGGUUUUGGUUCAUUGAUAUCUUUUUUAUGGUAAAUCCUUAUCUUGGCUACAAAUAUUACUGUGCACAGAUGAGCUUAAGUUGACAUUGAAUCAGGAUUGUAAUGAUAUUGAAAAGCUCAAGCUGCAUACUGCUAUCAUGUCUCAAAGCUUUGGCUGCGAAAUGUUUCAGCAUAUGCUGAUAGAUGGGAAUGCCAUAAUAUGAAUUUUAGUAGCAAAUUGUGAUGCGUCAAUUCUUUUCAAAUGGCUGCUUCAUUCUCCUUGUGGGUUUUACAAGCUUCUGUGGGCUUGACUAAACUAUCUCUUACACAUUGUGUCUUACAUUCUAGCUGCUAGCAUAUUGAUUAUUGAAAGCUAGUUUCUAGUGCCCUUGAUGCUUGUUUGAUGAUGGUGGAAGUCACAUAGGCUAUUGUUGACUAUUGAUGAGUGAUGGUUUUGCUUGUUUUGCACUAAAUUAUUUGAUAUGGCCCUUUGAUGAGUCGAAGUCAAGAUCAAAGUUAAAGUCAAAACUCCUCUACUGUGGAAUCCUCCUAAGUCCAUUCAAUCAAGAUACACAAACCUUAAACUACCCACUUCUAGCAAUAACUGUCUUUUUAAAAUAAUUGCUUACUACUCCCACUUCUACAAACAGGACCAUCAUGAAUUACCAUGAAUCACAUAACCUCCUCUAAAAUCUUACAGUGGAUUGUUAUAUAUACUUCAUUCUUCUAUAGAAAAGGUUAAUUCUAUUCUCUAAUACAGAAACUCUAUCCAAAUAUUCUAUCAUUAUACUUAUUCCUUCCAAAUACAGUUUUCGAUAUGCCUUAAGCAUCGAUGAGGCUUUCUAGGAAAUCAGUUUUAGAAUAGUCUUUUUUUGUGGUUGUAGGUAUUUAAUUUCUAGCAAUUAGAUCAUCAUUCACACUUAAACACACAUGUAUUUCAUACUUUUAAUCUCUUUAUAAAUUUGAGAGUUUUUAAGUAGGAACAAAAUUCAAAUAAGUUCUUGGAGUAAUUUAUUUGCUUUAUUCACAACAUUCACGAGCUUUUAAGAGUAGUUAAAUUUUAGCAUAUGUUCUUGUUAUGAUCGUUUAAUUUUGAAUAGGGAUAUGUAAUGCCCAGAUAUUUUUAAAAGAUAAUAAUAAUAAUAAUAAUAAAUAUAUUUGAUAUCAAAAUUAAGAUUUUCUGAUAAAAUUGAAUUACAGUUUUAUUUUCUAAUUAAAAAUAAAAAAAUUAAAAAUUAAUUUAUUAAAACCCACAAUUGUAUAUGUGAUUUUCCUUAUCUUAACCCCCUCCCACUUUCUUCUAUCACAUCCCACUCUUCCUUCAACUACUCUUUAACCAAUAUUUUCUACCACUACAGAUGGAUGGUAUUAGUCUUCGGUUCUCUUUUCACCAUUCUCUAUCUCUUUCUAAUUAUUUUUAUGUAGUUAACCAUUUUUUUCUUUACAACUAUUAUUCGUUUAAUCUUCUCCUUCAUAGUAUUUUUUUUAAUCUUUAGAUAUUUUUAUCUAUAAUUAUAAACAAUAAUUAUACUUUAGAUGUCAAAUUCGUAGAUUAAAACUACUAAAAGCGUACGUUAAAAUUCUAGAAUCAUUUCACAAAGUAAUUUUUAGUGUCCAUCCAAUUAGAAUUAUCCCUUUAAUAUUAUGUGUUGAGUGAUAACGUGUUUAGAUUAGAUGCAUGAUUUCAUUUUAUAUUAUAUUUUAUAUGUUUAUUACUCAAAUUAUAUUAUUGACUACUAUUUUUGUUAUGGUUUUAAUUUAUAAUAUUAUUUUAAUGCUGAAUUUUGUGCAUUUUUAUCGAGCCAAAGAACUCUUUGGCCGCAUUAUGAGUUGUCACCUCUUUCCCUCUCCAGACUCUGAUCAUGGUUCCUAUGAGUGUGAUACACACUGUAUAUAAUGAUAAUAAUAAUGAUGAUGAAUUUUAAAUACGAUUAAAUAGGGAAGAGAAAUGUUUAUGAUAUUAAUAUUUCCUAUUGCCACUAAUUGAUGUUAAAAUGGUGCUAAGUCAAAUGAAAUUACAAUUGGAUAUUCUUGAGAUAUAUUUUAUUUAAAAAUUUUAAUAAAAUAUAUGAUGUUUAUUUGAUUACAUGAUUGUAUGUUCAUGGCUUACUAAAAUAUAUUAAAUCAGUAAAAUGGAAACAUGAAGGAAAUAAACCUUUUAUAUUUGUUGUGAUCCAAGUAGGAGGGAUGUGUAUAUUAGGGUUACUUGAGACUAUUCUGGUCAUUAAUUAUUUAAGGUGACAAAUUCUUGAUGACAUAGGUAUAGGGUAAAGCCUUGGCCUACUUUCGCUCUCGUUCCCUCAAAUAUUAAAAAUAAGAAUAUGUGUUUGUCAUUAUUAAAUACCAAAUUAAUUAAUUUGUUCAUGUGAUAUUAUGUUAUCUUAUUUACGCAAAUUGAUUCUCAAUUAGAUUAUAUAUUAUUUUUUCAAAAUUAUUUUUAAACUUAAUUAUUUUACGGGAUUAAGUUGGAAUUACCCAAUUUUCUGAUUUUU